GUAGGUGGCAAGCGUUGUCCGGAAUUAUUGGGCGUAAAGCGCGCGCAGGCGGUUCUUUAAGUCUGAUGUGAAAGCCCACGGCUCAACCGUGGAGGGUCAUUGGAAACUGGAGAACUUGAGUACAGAAGAGGAAAGCGGAAUUCCACGUGUAGCGGUGAAAUGCGUAGAGAUGUGGAGGAACACCAGUGGCGAAGGCGGCUUUCUGGUCUGUAACUGACGCUGAGGCGCGAAGGCGUGGGGAGCAAACAGGAUUAGAUACCCUGGUAGUCCACGCCGUAAACGAUGAGUGCUAAGUGUUAGGGGGUUUCCGCCCCCCUUAGUGCUGCAGCUAACGCAUUAAGCACUCCGCCUGGGAGUACGGCCGCAAGGCUG
This 372-nucleotide ribosomal RNA is filed under the name uncultured organism. RNAcentral's name for it is "partial 16S ribosomal RNA". It matches the Rfam family "Bacterial small subunit ribosomal RNA", at positions 527 to 896 of the family's 1533-position model. The record is from RNAcentral.